Molecule: ribosomal RNA, 470 nt
Filed under: Burkholderiaceae bacterium AcOx15H
Lineage: Bacteria; Pseudomonadati; Pseudomonadota; Betaproteobacteria; Burkholderiales; Burkholderiaceae
Description: bacterial SSU rRNA
Rfam family: Bacterial small subunit ribosomal RNA
Source: RNAcentral
UUGAACGCUGGCGGCAUGCCUUACACAUGCAAGUCGAACGGCAGCACGGGGGCAACCCUGGUGGCGAGUGGCGAACGGGUGAGUAAUACAUCGGAACGUGUCCUGUAGUGGGGGAUAGCCCGGCGAAAGCCGGAUUAAUACCGCAUACGCUCUACGGAGGAAAGGGGGGGAUCUUAGGACCUCCCGCUACAGGGGCGGCCGAUGGCAGAUUAGCUAGUUGGUGGGGUAAAGGCCUACCAAGGCGACGAUCUGUAGCUGGUCUGAGAGGACGACCAGCCACACUGGGACUGAGACACGGCCCAGACUCCUACGGGAGGCAGCAGUGGGGAAUUUUGGACAAUGGGCGAAAGCCUGAUCCAGCAAUGCCGCGUGUGUGAAGAAGGCCUUCGGGUUGUAAAGCACUUUUGUCCGGAAAGAAAACCUCCGCCCUAAUAUGGUGGGGGGAUGACGAACCCGGAAGAAUAAGUACC